Molecule: ribosomal RNA, 426 nt
Filed under: uncultured prokaryote
Description: bacterial SSU rRNA
Rfam family: Bacterial small subunit ribosomal RNA
Source: RNAcentral
UGGGGAAUUUUCCGCAAUGGGGGCAACCCUGACGGAGCAACGCCGCGUGCGGGAGGACGGUUUGUGGACUGUAAACCGCUUUUAAUAGGGAAGAAUAACUGACGGUACCUAUUGAAUCAGCAUCGGCUAACUCCGUGCCAGCAGCCGCGGUAAUACGGAGGAUGCAAGCGUUAUCCGGAAUUAUUGGGCGUAAAGGGUCCGCAGGUGGUUAAUCAAGUCAGCUGUUAAAGAUUCGAGCUUAACUCGGGAGUGGCGGUUGAAACUGAAUGACUAGAGUACGGUAGGGGUAGAGGGAAUUCCUAGUGUAGCGGUGAAAUGCGUAGAUAUUAGGAAGAACACCAGUGGCGAAGGCGCUCUACUGGACCUGUACUGACACUGAGGGACGAAAGCUAGGGGAGCGAAAGGGAUUAGAUACCCCCGUAGUCC